GAUGAACGCUGGCGGCGUGCUUAACACAUGCAAGUCGAACGAAGCGCUUUGGACUGAUUCUUCGGAUGAAGUCCCUGGUGACUGCGUGGCGGACGGGUGAGUAACGCGUGGGUAACCUGCCUCAUACAGGGGGAUAACAGUUAGAAAUGGCUGCUAAUACCGCAUAAGCGCACGGUACUGCAUGGUACAGUGUGAAAACUCCGGUGGUAUGAGAUGGACCCGCGUUGGAUUAGCUAGUUGCAGGGUAACGCCUACCAAGGCGACGAUCCAUAGCCGGCUGAGAGGGUGGACGGCCACAUUGGGACUGAGACACGGCCCAGACU
RNAcentral lists this ribosomal RNA (323 nucleotides) under uncultured bacterium. RNAcentral's name for it is "bacterial SSU rRNA". It matches the Rfam family "Bacterial small subunit ribosomal RNA", at positions 28 to 337 of the family's 1533-position model. The record is from RNAcentral.